GAUGAACGCUGGCGGCGUGCCUAAUACAUGCAAGUCGAGCGAACAGAUAAGGAGCUUGCUCCUUUGACGUUAGCGGCGGACGGGUGAGUAACACGUGGAUAACCUACCUAUAAGACUGGGAUAACUUCGGGAAACCGGAGCUAAUACCGGAUAAUAUAUUGAACCGCAUGGUUCAAUAGUGAAAGACGGUUUUGCUGUCACUUAUAGAUGGAUCCGCGCCGCAUUAGCUAGUUGGUAAGGUAACGGCUUACCAAGGCAACGAUGCGUAGCCGACCUGAGAGGGUGAUCGGCCACACUGGAACUGAGACACGGUCCCGAAUCCUACGGGAGGGAGCAGUAGGGAAUCUUCCGCAAUGGGCGAAAGCUUGACGGAGCAACGCCGCGUGAGUGAUGAAGGUCUUCGGAUCGUAAAACUCUGUUAUUAGGGAAGAACAAAUGUGUAAGUAACUAUGCACGUCUUGACGGUACCUAAUCAGAAAGCCACGGCUAACUACGUG
Molecule: ribosomal RNA, 497 nt
Filed under: uncultured bacterium
Lineage: Bacteria
Description: partial 16S ribosomal RNA
Rfam family: Bacterial small subunit ribosomal RNA
Source: RNAcentral